This 374-nucleotide unclassified non-coding RNA is filed under the name soil metagenome. RNAcentral's name for it is "partial contains internal transcribed spacer 2 and large subunit ribosomal RNA". The stretch from base 1 to 120 matches the Rfam family "5.8S ribosomal RNA", at positions 35 to 154 of the family's 154-position model. The record is from RNAcentral.
GAUGAAGAACGCAGCGAAAUGCGAUAAUUAAUGUGAAUUGCAGAAUUCCGUGAAUCAUCGAGUCUUUGAACGCACAUUGCGCCUCAUGGCAUUCCGUGAGGCAUGCCCAUCUCAGCGUUAGAAAAUAUUCUCAAAUUUUAGUUUUGUGCUAAAAUUUGGAUCAUGUCAAGGAAGCUAUUACUAUUAUUGUGAUCGCUCUUUGGAAAUUGAUAGGUCUUUGAGUUGCUACUCAUAGAACGUGAUGAAUCUUUCUUCGUUCUAUUGUAAUUCACUCUGGUAGUCCUAAAACUUGUAUGCCUGUGGCAUAUCUUGUAAUUUGACCUGAGAUUGGGUAGGGAUACCCGCUGAACUUAAGCAUAUCAAUAAGCGGAAGA